This 292-nucleotide ribosomal RNA is filed under the name uncultured bacterium. RNAcentral's name for it is "partial 16S ribosomal RNA". It matches the Rfam family "Bacterial small subunit ribosomal RNA", at positions 505 to 796 of the family's 1533-position model. The record is from RNAcentral.
GUGUCAGCAGCCGCGGUAAUACGUAGGGGGCAAGCGUUAUCCGGAUUUACUGGGUGUAAAGGGAGUGUAGGUGGCAUGGCAAGUCAGAAGUGAAAGCCCGGGGCUCAACCCCGGGACUGCUUUUGAAACUGCCAAGCUAGAGUGCAGGAGAGGUAAGUGGAAUUCCUAGUGUAGCGGUGAAAUGCGUAGAUAUUAGGAGGAACACCAGUGGCGAAGGCGACUUACUGGACUGUAACUGACACUGAGGCUCGAAAGCGUGGGGAGCAAACAGGAUUAGAAACCCUUGUAGUCC